Stylophora pistillata is the source of this 1732-nucleotide long non-coding RNA. RefSeq lists it as uncharacterized. The record is from RefSeq and is a predicted model, not a curated record. Lineage: Eukaryota; Metazoa; Cnidaria; Anthozoa; Scleractinia; Pocilloporidae.
CUCAUCAACUCAUACAAAAAUAAGUUACUUUUUUACCACUUCGAUCAAACGAUUUCAUGGUAAGGGAGGGAGUUUAUCCAUUAUGUUUAUUUGAUGCAAUUUACUGCCUUAUUUCCAAGUAUAAGGUUGUAUCUUAUUUUAAAACGUGAUAUAUUGUAAUUGGGUGUGAUUGGUUGUAAUCAGCUGGUAGCUGUCUUUAACUCGGGACUACGAAAUUUCCUUGCAAUGUUGUAAGACUGUUGAAUUUGUCUCCGUCUAAUCAAAACAGAAGCUUAAUAUUCACUGAAAGCGAAGGCAUAACCAUGUCUUGUCACUACCAAAAUUGAUCGAGUUCCUUAGAAUGAUGUCGGAAUGCCCAUGUACUUAAUGUCUAAGCUCUUUGUGAUUCCGUGGCCUAUGUGUAUUGUAGUGUUUUGUUAGUUUCUUCCCGUUUUUUCUACUUUCCUCGAUGCACUAAAACGCAGAGUGAAUAUAAUUUCUUGUGAUCUUUUGAAUAAACACUGACAACCUCCCGUAUUUCAUCGAUUAGUGUUCUAAAACAAAUAGUGACUGUUUCCAUAUGACCAUCUUUCUAUUUAAACACUUGUGUAAUCAUAACGAGAACCAAAUCACACAUUUCAUAGUUAUUUCUUCACAGAACUUUUCAGUUGCAACGAAAUCGGCAUCAUGGCAACUGGGAUAGCCAGGAACAAACCACUGAGUGACAAGCAAAGGAAGAUUUUAAAUCGAGUAAAACGUGAUCUUUUAAAAGAUAUGAAUCCAGACGAAGUUUUACCAAAAAUGGCAGCUGAUAAUGUAUUUACCCAAUCUGAAGAAGAGAAAAUAAAAGCGAAACCAACACGAUGGGGACAAUGUGAGGAGUUGCUAGAGAUUUUACCAAGGAAGGGUACGAAAGCCUACCAAAUCUUCAGGAAAGUACUCCGAUCGGUUCACCUACACCUUGCAAACUUAAUUUUGGAAUACGGUAAGUGUUUUGGCGACAACGAAAAUCAAUUAGCGUGAAAGGAGAGCUGUAUGAUUACACCUAACUGAAAUUUUGGAACGAUGUCCUAGCUACAAUUCAUCGAGAUGGAGAUACGAAGCCAGUUUUUGGGAAGCGAGGGCCCAACACCUAUAAAGCCUUUAUUCUUUUUUCAGAGUUAGGAAGCUACUUUGCAAUUGCAGCAUAAACUCAUUACGCUACUUUCUCUUUAGUUAACUUAAACUUUUCUAUGGUUCAUACUUCAUUGCCGCGUUCCCUUCUUUCAUCUCAGAUAACACGAGACUGGGAAGGGGUGAAAACUCAGAGCAAGCCGCUGACAGGACAAGACGGACACCUGACUCAACUGAAAACGAAGAUCUGAGGGAAGAGGUCGUUAAUGUUAAACGAUGCAUGGCAAUACAGGAAGACGCAGGAACCUGUUGGCUGGACCUUGGAGUAGUUCUUGAGCUACCAGAAGGCGAACUUCACAAUAUAGGCAAAGAUUAUAAAUAUGCUAAAGAAAAAGGACUUGCUGUACUUAGAUCAUGUAGAAAUAAGAGAGCGAGUAAAGCAACUGUAGGAUGCCUUUUCGACGCAUUUAAAAGCAUUGGUCAAAGAAGAAUUGCAGAAAAUUUCUUAGAGUUAUGUCGAGCCAAACGGUAGGAAAAUUCCGGGCUGUGAGGAAGUUAGAAACCAAGUAUAGAGCUCAAAGAAUUCGAAGAAAGAAAUGUUUCUACGAAUGAAAAACUGCUAGAAUGCGAAGUCAAGCGU